CCUACGGGAGGCAGCAGUGAGGAAUAUUGGUCAAUGGGCGUAAGCCUGAACCAGCCAAGUCGCGUGAGGGAUGAAGGUUCUAUGGUUCGUAAACCUCUUUUAUAAGGGAAUAAAGUGCGGGACGUGUCCUGUUUUGUAUGUACCUUAUGAAUAAGGAUCGGCUAACUCCGUGCCAGCAGCCGCGGUAAUACGGAGGAUCCGAGCGUUAUCCGGAUUUAUUGGGGUUAAAGGGUGCGUAGGGGGCUUUUUAAGUCAGAUGUGAAAUUUUGUGGCUCAACCAUAGAAUUGCAGUUGAAACUGGGAGUCUAGAGUAUGGUUGAGGUAGGCGGAAUGCGUGGUGUAGCGGUGAAAUGCGUAGAGAUCACGAAGAAUACCGAUUGCGAAGGCAGCCUGCUAGGCCAUCACUGACGCUGAUGCGCGAAAGCGUGGGGAGCAAACAGGAUUAGAUACCCCGGUAGUC
RNAcentral lists this ribosomal RNA (460 nucleotides) under uncultured bacterium. Its description in RNAcentral is "partial 16S ribosomal RNA". It matches the Rfam family "Bacterial small subunit ribosomal RNA", at positions 338 to 795 of the family's 1533-position model. The record is from RNAcentral.